RNAcentral lists this microRNA precursor (80 nucleotides) under Pelodiscus sinensis (Chinese soft-shelled turtle). Its description in RNAcentral is "miRNA (ENSPSIG00000020216.1)". Lineage: Eukaryota; Metazoa; Chordata; Testudines; Trionychidae. The record is from RNAcentral.
GGGCCAGAUUCUCAGAUGGUGUAAAUCAGCAUCAUUCUACUGCACUCAGUGGAGUCUGCUGAUUUACACAAGCUGAGGAU